RNAcentral lists this ribosomal RNA (253 nucleotides) under uncultured bacterium. RNAcentral's name for it is "partial 16S ribosomal RNA". It matches the Rfam family "Bacterial small subunit ribosomal RNA", at positions 524 to 776 of the family's 1533-position model. The record is from RNAcentral.
UACGUAGGGGGCUAGCGUUGUCCGGAUUUAUUGGGCGUAAAGAGCGUGUAGGCGGCCAGACAAGUCUGCUGUGAAAACUCGAGGCUCAACCUCGAGCUGUCGGCGGAAACUGUCUGGCUAGAGUCCGGAAGAGGAGAGUGGAAUUCCUGGUGUAGCGGUGAAAUGCGCAGAUAUCAGGAAGAACACCUAUGGCGAAGGCAGCUCUCUGGGACGGUACUGACGCUGAGACGCGAAAGCGUGGGGAGCGAACAGG